GGAGGUGUGGCAGAGCGGUUGAAUGCACUGGUCUUGAAAACCAGCGUUCCGAUACCUCGGGACCGUAGGUUCGAAUCCUACCACCUCCG
This 89-nucleotide transfer RNA is filed under the name Fidelibacterota bacterium. RNAcentral's name for it is "tRNA-Ser". It matches the Rfam family "tRNA". Rfam says of the family: Transfer RNA (tRNA) molecules are approximately 80 nucleotides in length. Their secondary structure includes four short double-helical elements and three loops (D, anti-codon, and T loops). The record is from RNAcentral. Lineage: Bacteria; Pseudomonadati; Fidelibacterota.